CCUUACUCACCGAAACCUCGGUAAAUUCCGAGAACGAUAACCAUGGAAACCUUCGGCGAUAAUUCGACUAUUAGCCCGCGCUCCCUACAAAGGACCCGGAAGUCAAGUUCGGAAAUCCGACUGGACUCCCCGAAUAGCGGCACGAACAGACCUAGCCCGAUCCUACUCGAAGGGCUAAGGCCCGACCUCAAUGCCUUGGGAUUUUCCUAAAGGCCGAACGUAACGACUUUCGCAAUUGUAAGAUCCGAGUUAUAGGACUUAGAAAAAUUUUCUGGAAACCUAAACUCGGAGCUCCCUUUGCUCGGAAUGAUUAAGAUCCGAGAAGGCCAAGGUAUAACUCAGGAAAAAGGGCAACUUCGUUAAGUAGCCCGAAAACUAAAAUGCAAAGUUAGAGGUCGUCGAGGCGGUUAGCUAAGGCUCUAGCCUCAUUCACGACGAGAAAGGGAAAGACGAGCACGGAAUGACAAAAGUAUUUUUUCAUUGACAAAGGGCCGGAAGGCCAAUUACAAAAUUGGAGGUCGGCCAUUCAAGAGCCGACCCCGGAUACAAUGAAAAAGAAGAAAUACGCCAAGUCUUAAGCGGCGGCAGCAACAUCCGCAGGGUCGUCCACGGUGAUGGCCUCGGGACCUUCAGCCGGCACAGGCUCGGGGUCUUCUCCAACUGGCUUAGCGCUUCCCAGAUCAUGCCAUCCCCN
RNAcentral lists this long non-coding RNA (694 nucleotides) under Phoenix dactylifera (date palm). RNAcentral describes it as "long non-coding RNA (PDAC_LNC009339)". Lineage: Eukaryota; Viridiplantae; Streptophyta; Magnoliopsida; Arecales; Arecaceae. The record is from RNAcentral.